This 331-nucleotide ribosomal RNA is filed under the name Candidatus Margulisiibacteriota bacterium. RNAcentral describes it as "partial 23S ribosomal RNA". It matches the Rfam family "Bacterial large subunit ribosomal RNA", at positions 2605 to 2925 of the family's 2925-position model. The record is from RNAcentral. Lineage: Bacteria; Bacillati; Candidatus Margulisiibacteriota.
CUGGGUUCAGAACGUCGUGAGACAGUUCGGUCCAUAUCCGGUGCAGGCGCAAGGGAAAUUGAGAGGAGUCCUUCCUAGUACGAGAGGACCGGAAGGAACAGACCUCUAGUGUACCAGUUGUGGGGCCAACCCGCAAACGCUGGGUAGCUAUGUCUGGCAGGGAUAAAUGCUGAAAGCAUCUAAGCAUCAAGCCCACCUCAAGAUUAGUUUCCCCAUCUCUGUAGCAAUACAGAGGGUAAGACCCCUUGCAGAACACAAGGUUGAUAGGCUGGAGGUGUAAAGGCAGUAAUGUCUGAGCUGACCAGUACUAAUCGGUCGAGGACUUGAUCUU